UACGUAGGGGGCAAGCGUUGUUCGGAAUUACUGGGCGUAAAGGGCUCGUAGGCGGCCAACUAAGUCGGAUGUGAAAUCCCCAAGCUUAACUUGGGAACUGCAUCCGAUACUGGAUGGCUUGAAUCCGGGAGAGGGAUGCAGAAUUCCAGGUGUAGCGGUGAAAUGCGUAGAUAUCUGGAGGAAUACCGGUGGCGAAGGCGGCAUCCUGGACCGGCAUUGACGCUGAGGAGCGAAAGCUAGGGGAGCAAACGGG
This 253-nucleotide ribosomal RNA is filed under the name uncultured bacterium. RNAcentral describes it as "partial 16S ribosomal RNA". It matches the Rfam family "Bacterial small subunit ribosomal RNA", at positions 524 to 776 of the family's 1533-position model. The record is from RNAcentral.